GCACUGCUGAGGAGUUACACAAUAGGACGAAACGGUCGUCCAGUGC
This is a non-coding RNA of Schistosoma haematobium, 46 nucleotides long. Lineage: Eukaryota; Metazoa; Platyhelminthes; Trematoda; Strigeidida; Schistosomatidae. The record is from Rfam.